This 253-nucleotide ribosomal RNA is filed under the name uncultured bacterium. RNAcentral's name for it is "partial 16S ribosomal RNA". It matches the Rfam family "Bacterial small subunit ribosomal RNA", at positions 524 to 776 of the family's 1533-position model. The record is from RNAcentral.
UACGUAGGGUGCAAGCGUUAAUCGGAAUUACUGGGCGUAAAGCGUGCGCAGGCGGUUAUGCAAGACAGAGGUGAAAUCCCCGGGCUCAACCUGGGAACUGCCUUUGUGACUGCAUAGCUAGAGUACGGUAGAGGGGGAUGGAAUUCCGCGUGUAGCAGUGAAAUGCGUAGAUAUGCGGAGGAACACCGAUGGCGAAGGCAAUCCCCUGGACCUGUACUGACGCUCAUGCGCGACAGCGUGGGGAGCAAACAAG